GGGGGUAUAGCUCAAGUGGUAGAGUGCAUGCUUAGCAUGCAUGAGGUCCUGGGUUCAAUCCCCAGUACCUCCC
Molecule: transfer RNA, 73 nt
Filed under: Vicugna pacos (alpaca)
Lineage: Eukaryota; Metazoa; Chordata; Mammalia; Artiodactyla; Camelidae
Description: tRNA-Ala (AGC) (tRNA-Ala-AGC-383-1)
Rfam family: tRNA
About the family: Transfer RNA (tRNA) molecules are approximately 80 nucleotides in length. Their secondary structure includes four short double-helical elements and three loops (D, anti-codon, and T loops).
Source: Rfam by way of RNAcentral